AGUGAACGCUGGCGGUAGGCCUAACACAUGCAAGUCGAACGGCAGCACAGGAGAGCUUGCUCUCUGGGUGGCGAGUGGCGGACGGGUGAGGAAUACAUCGGAAUCUACUCUGUCGUGGGGGAUAACGUAGGGAAACUUACGCUAAUACCGCAUACGACCUACGGGUGAAAGCAGGGGACCUUCGGGCCUUGCGCGAUUGAAUGAGCCGAUGUCGGAUUAGCUAGUUGGCGGGGUAAAGGCCCACCAAGGCGACGAUCCGUAGCUGGUCUGAGAGGAUGAUCAGCCACACUGGAACUGAGACACGGUCCAGACUCCUACGGGAGGCAGAAGUGGGGAAUAUUGGACAAUGGGCGCAAGCCUGAUCCAGCCAUACCGCGUGGGUGAAGAAGGCCUUCGGGUUGUAAAGCCCUUUUGUUGGGAAAGAAAUCCAGCUGGCUAAUACCCGGUUGGGAUGACGGUACCCAAAGGAUAAGCACCGGCUAACUUCGUGCCAGCCGCCGCAGUAA
RNAcentral lists this ribosomal RNA (506 nucleotides) under uncultured bacterium. RNAcentral's name for it is "partial 16S ribosomal RNA". It matches the Rfam family "Bacterial small subunit ribosomal RNA", at positions 29 to 523 of the family's 1533-position model. The record is from RNAcentral.